GGGACAUACAUGAUAGGCCGGCGGCAACUCCUGAGUAGAGAGGGACCAGACUCAGCUCCAGGUUCAACGUCGCGAGACCAAAUGUAGAUGAAAAACGAGCUCAGAUAGGUCCGGGUUGCUAUCGAGUAUUUUGGGCCUGGCGAGUAUCGGAGCCGUCCCUAACACGUCGCUGUCUAGGUAGUGAGGAGAGGAAUUCCCGGAUAACUAGGCCUGCAACCCGUCAUUUGGCCAAUGCCAGCUCGCGGCGUUCUUCCGAGAGACAAAGAGACAAAGAAGAGAAGCCAACUGAAUCUGAGCUGGCGACACUUGAGUAAAAAAGCGGGCUUCUUUUAAAGUGCAUUCAUUUGAGAGGAAACUCCGCAAAGUGUUGUAGUCGGCAACGCUUGUUGAAUCAGGUAUUCCAUUCCUUCGUCUGGGGAGUGAGUAUGGCUUCGAAAUUUUGCCAACUGGGCGGUUUCAAGAGUAACAAAAUAAUUUGAAAUACAUUUCGGCCUC
RNAcentral lists this small RNA (495 nucleotides) under Histoplasma capsulatum. Its description in RNAcentral is "hypothetical RNA". The record is from RNAcentral. RNAcentral also lists the same sequence under 1 other name. Lineage: Eukaryota; Fungi; Ascomycota; Eurotiomycetes; Onygenales; Ajellomycetaceae.